Molecule: ribosomal RNA, 492 nt
Filed under: uncultured bacterium
Lineage: Bacteria
Description: partial 16S ribosomal RNA
Rfam family: Bacterial small subunit ribosomal RNA
Source: RNAcentral
AGUGAACGCUGGCGGUAGGCCUAACACAUGCAAGUCGAACGGCAGCACAGUAAGAGCUUGCUCUUACGGGUGGCGAGUGGCGGACGGGUGAGGAAUACAUCGGAAUCUACUUUUUCGUGGGGGAUAACGUAGGGAAACUUACGCUAAUACCGCAUACGACCUACGGGUGAAAGCAGGGGAUCUUCGGACCUUGCGCGAUUGAAUGAGCCGAUGUCGGAUUAGCUAGUUGGCGGGGUAAAGGCCCACCAAGGCGACGAUCCGUAGCUGGUCUGAGAGGAUGAUCAGCCACACUGGAACUGAGGCACGGUCCAGACUCCUGCGGGAGGCAGCAGUGGGGAAUAUUGGACAAUGGGCGCAAGCCUGAUCCAGCCAUACCGCGUGGGUGAAGAAGGCCUUCGGGUUGUAAAGCCCUUUUGUUGGGAAAGAAAAGCAGCAGGUUAAUACCCCGCUGUUCUGACGGUACCCAAAGAAUAAGCACCGGCUAACUUCGUG